Branchiostoma belcheri (Belcher's lancelet) is the source of this 290-nucleotide long non-coding RNA. RefSeq lists it as uncharacterized. NCBI's taxonomy places the organism in Eukaryota, Metazoa, Chordata, Leptocardii, Amphioxiformes, Branchiostomatidae. The transcript has 3 exons. The record is from RefSeq and is a predicted model, not a curated record.
GUUUUUUUACCACGUGACCUCCUGUAUCCAUACCUGAGCCUACCUGUGUGAAGUCCGGAUUUGUAAACAUGGAAACCAUCAAAGCGCUGUGGCGAGACUUUCCGACGAAACGAGUUACAGUUUUAGGUGUGCUUAUUGCGAUAGGAGGCAUAGGGGGAAGCACCAGACAUCCAUUUUUCCCGUUCCUCACGCACGACUUCUUCCCUUAUCUAAACAGUAACCAGAUAGGGUAUUAUACCGGGUUCCUGACAAGUGCGACUUUUACUGGUAAUUUUAUCGGGUGCCUUGUG